Molecule: long non-coding RNA, 266 nt
Filed under: Brassica napus (rape)
Lineage: Eukaryota; Viridiplantae; Streptophyta; Magnoliopsida; Brassicales; Brassicaceae
Description: long non-coding RNA (BNAP_LNC018348)
Source: RNAcentral
AUAGGUCGUGUGGAGUUGGUUUGGAGGCACAUGCCUAUUGCUAUCUGAGGCUGCGUAGUCGUGGCUUCCCUAGGGUUCUGCGUCUGAAGAUCUUGUGGUCCGAGAGAUGCUAUCGUCUAUGGCAGUAUAUCCUCUUCCUUUGAGACAUCUCCCUGUCUGUCUCUCCCUACCGUAAAUCAGCUUAAAGUUACCCGAGUCAAUCAUGUGGCUCUAUGUUUGUUUUGAUUCCGCUGUUUCGACUCUUGAUUGUUUCCCAACGAUUAGAG